GUAACAAGGUUUCCGUAGGUGAACCUGCGGAAGGAUCAUUACCGAGUUGAUUCGAGCUCCGGCUCGACUCUCCCACCCCAUGUGUACCUACCUCUGUUGCUUUGGCGGGCCGCGGUCCUCCGCACCGACCCCCGUUCGGGGGGCCGGCCAGCGCCCGCCAGAGGACCACAAAACUCCAGUCAGUAAACGUCGCAGUCUGAGAAACAAGUUAAUAAACUAAAACUUUCAACAACGGAUCUCUUGGUUCUGGCAUCGAUGAAGAACGCAGCGAAAUGCGAUAAGUAAUGUGAAUUGCAGAAUUCAGUGAAUCAUCGAAUCUUUGAACGCACAUUGCGCCCCUUGGUAUUCCGAGGGGCAUGCCUGUUCGAGCGUCAUUUCAACCCUCAAGCUCUGCUUGGUAUUGGGCUCCGUCCUCUGUGGACGCGCCUCGAAGACCUCGGCGGUGGCGUCUUGCCUCAAGCGUAGUAGAAAACACCUCGCUUUGGAGCGCACGGCGUCGCCCGCCGGACGAACCUUUGAAUUUUUCUCAAGGUUGACCUCGGAUCAGGUAGGGAUACCCGCUGAACUUAAGCAUAUCAAUAG
Molecule: ribosomal RNA, 582 nt
Filed under: Neofusicoccum luteum
Lineage: Eukaryota; Fungi; Ascomycota; Dothideomycetes; Botryosphaeriales; Botryosphaeriaceae
Description: eukaryotic LSU rRNA
Rfam family: 5.8S ribosomal RNA (bases 221-374)
Source: RNAcentral